AAAAAGGUAAGCUAAAAUAAGCUACUGGGUUCAUACCCCACUUAUGUAGGUAUACCCCUUCCCUUUUUA
RNAcentral lists this transfer RNA (69 nucleotides) under Callispa bowringii. RNAcentral describes it as "tRNA-Met". The record is from RNAcentral. Lineage: Eukaryota; Metazoa; Arthropoda; Insecta; Coleoptera; Chrysomelidae.